RNAcentral lists this ribosomal RNA (313 nucleotides) under uncultured fungus. Its description in RNAcentral is "partial small subunit ribosomal RNA". It matches the Rfam family "Eukaryotic small subunit ribosomal RNA", at positions 30 to 336 of the family's 1831-position model. Lineage: Eukaryota; Fungi. The record is from RNAcentral.
GCUUGUCUCAAAGAUUAAGCCAUGCAUGUCUAAGUAUAAACAAAUCUAUACGUGAAACUGCGAAUGGCUCAUUAUAUCAGUUAUAGUUUAUUUGAUGGUUCAUACUACUUGGAUAACCGUAGUAAUUCUAGAGCUAAUACAUGCGCCAAGUCCCAACUCUUGCGGGGAGGGAUGUAUUUAUUAGAUCCAAAACCAAUGCGGGCUUCACGGCCCGGUGUUGCGGUGAAUCAUAGUAACUUGUCGGAUCGCAUGGCCUCGCGCCGGCGACAGUUCAUUCAAAUUUCUGCCCUAUCAGCUUUCGACGGUAGUGUAG